RNAcentral lists this ribosomal RNA (460 nucleotides) under uncultured bacterium. Its description in RNAcentral is "partial 16S ribosomal RNA". It matches the Rfam family "Bacterial small subunit ribosomal RNA", at positions 338 to 795 of the family's 1533-position model. The record is from RNAcentral.
CCUACGGGAGGCAGCAGUGAGGAAUAUUGGUCAAUGGGCUUACGCCUGAACCAGCCAAGUCGCGUGAGGGAAGACUGCCCUAUGGGUUGUAAACCUCUUUUUUCAGGGAGCAACUCCGGCUACGUGUAGCCUGACUGAGAGUCCCUGAAGAAAAAGCAUCGGCUAACUCCGUGCCAGCAGCCGCGGUAAUACGGAGGAUUCGACGGUUCUCCGACUUUAGUGGGUUUACAGGGUGCGUAGGCGGAAUGCAAAUUCAGCGGGAGAAUCGCGGGUCUAACCCUCGAUCCGCCGUUGAAACUGGCGUUCUGGAGUGGGCGAGAGGUAGGCGGAAUGCGUGGUGUAGCGGUGAAAUGCAUAGAUAUCACGCAGAACACCGAUUGCGAAGGCAGCAUACCGGAGCCCAACUGACGCUGAAGCACGAAAGCGUGGGUAUCGAACAGGAUUAGAUACCCGAGUAGUC